RNAcentral lists this signal recognition particle RNA (155 nucleotides) under Gorilla gorilla gorilla (western lowland gorilla). RNAcentral's name for it is "Metazoan signal recognition particle RNA". It matches the Rfam family "Metazoan signal recognition particle RNA". From Rfam's summary of the family: The signal recognition particle (SRP) is a universally conserved ribonucleoprotein. It is involved in the co-translational targeting of proteins to membranes. The eukaryotic SRP consists of a 300-nucleotide 7S RNA and six proteins: SRPs 72, 68, 54, 19, 14, and 9. The record is from Rfam by way of RNAcentral. Lineage: Eukaryota; Metazoa; Chordata; Mammalia; Primates; Hominidae.
GCUGGGCAUGGUGGUGCAUGCCUGUAGUCCUAGCACUUUGGGAGGCUGAGGCAGGAGGAUUGCUUGAGCUCAGGAGUUCAAGGCUGCAGGUGGCAGUGAGCUAUGAUCAUGCCGCUGCACUCCAGCCUGGGCUACAGAGUAAGACCCCAUCUCAA